This 460-nucleotide ribosomal RNA is filed under the name uncultured bacterium. Its description in RNAcentral is "partial 16S ribosomal RNA". It matches the Rfam family "Bacterial small subunit ribosomal RNA", at positions 338 to 795 of the family's 1533-position model. The record is from RNAcentral.
CCUACGGGAGGCAGCAGUGAGGAAUAUUGGUCAAUGGGCUUACGCCUGAACCAGCCAAGUCGCGUGAGGGAAGACUGCCCCAUGGGUUGUAAACUUCUUUUGUCAGGGAGCAACGUCGGCCACGUGUAGCUGGACUGAGAGUAUCUGAAGAAAAAGCAUCGGCUAAUUCCGUGCCAGCAGCUGCGGUAAUACGGAGGAUGAGAGCGUUAGCCGGAUUUAUUGGGUUUAAAGGGUGUGUAGGCGGAAUGCAAAGUCAGCGGUAAAAGCGCGGGGUUCAACCUCGCUGAGCCGUUGAAACUGGCGGUCGUGAGUGGGCGAGAGGUAUGCGGAAUGCGUGGUGUAGCGGUGAAAUGCAUAGAUAUCGCGCAGAACUCCGAUUGCGAAGGCAGCAUACCGGCGCCCAACUGACGCUGAGGCACGAAAGCGUGGGUAUCGAACAGGAUUAGAUACCCUUGUAGUC